UACGUAGGGACCAAGCGUUGUUCGGAUUUACUGGGCGUAAAGGGCGCGUAGGCGGCCUGCUAAGUCGGAUGUGAAAUCCCUCGGCUCAACCGAGGAACUGCAUCCGAUACUGGCGGGCUUGAAUCCGGGAGAGGGAUGUGGAAUUCCAGGUGUAGCGGUGGAAUGCGUAGAGAUCCGGAAGAACACCGGUGGCGAAGGCGGCCUGCUGGGCAGUUGCUGACACUGAGGCGCGACAGCGUGGGGAGCAAACAGG
Molecule: ribosomal RNA, 253 nt
Filed under: uncultured bacterium
Lineage: Bacteria
Description: partial 16S ribosomal RNA
Rfam family: Bacterial small subunit ribosomal RNA
Source: RNAcentral